Molecule: long non-coding RNA, 1338 nt
Organism: Pangasianodon hypophthalmus (striped catfish)
Lineage: Eukaryota; Metazoa; Chordata; Actinopteri; Siluriformes; Pangasiidae
Exons: 2
Source: RefSeq, a predicted model, not a curated record
AAGACCUGGAGAAUUAGGAAAUAGAAAAACAGCAUAAGAGGAUGUCAUAUCAGAAUGUAAUAUACUGACAGGCUUUCAGGAGAGUCAGUACAAGAAUACCAGCUACAAUAAGAUGAAAAAGUUGACAACAUGAAACGUAUCAACCCGUACAUUUAGAGGAGUCUUUUCAAUUCGUGAAUUAAGUGGAUGUAAGUAAUCAGUCCAGAGGAAAUACAGAGACACAGCUUGUGAAACACCCACAGGUAUUUAUACAGAUAUUUUUUAGACUUCUAAGACACAGAAUUGAUUCGUAUGUAGAAAUCCGCUGAGCGUUGUUAGUAAAUAAGUAGAAAAUGCUGCUGUGUGUAUUAUGAAACUAGAAACCACUAGUGUAAAACCAAUGACGGCAUCUCAGACAUGCCAGCUAACAUCAACAGUAACAACACAAAAAGUGCUUUUAAUAACAUGACAUUUACAGUGCCUGUCUGAAAACUGACUGCCGUUUAGUUUUGAUUCAGAGGAACUGGAAGUGCUUCUGUGCUGGGAAUCAGACCUAGCCAUCUUGCACUCAUUGUUAAAGGGUCAAAUGUGAGCUGCAUGGUCACAUGACUUAAAGUUGCGUUUUCUCUGUACUGAGGCCUCUUAACUUGCCCAUGGUUGUCUGAUUUGCUCUUUAAAAACGUUUUGGUGUGUUACAUUAACGCUACGUGAGCAGAGCCAGUGCUGAAUGAGGAGUGGCAGAAGUGAGCUCUGUGGUGGCACCAAUGUUGUCUUAACUACCGAUGGAGCUAUUUGGCUAGCACCCACUUAGCAACUUAGCACGACCAGGCUCAAAUUACGAGACAGAAGUAACACAUAAUGUAGGACAGCCAGAAACUACUGCAUAUAAGCAAAGACAUGGGUGCAGGUCCUACAGUACUACUCAGAUUGAAUGGCAGCCAUCGGACCCCAGGAUCAAACCAGCUGUUUAUCUGUCAUGUAAACUGGCCGACUGGGUGGUGGGCAUCAUCACCAUGGCCUAUUGGCAGGCUGGAUGCCAUGCGCCUACUGUGACAUCCCACUCUAUGCGGAAUGUGUCCCCAUCUUCACCCCUCCCAGUGUUAUGAGUGUGGCGGUCAUCUCCGAACAAUUUCCAGUGAGUCCUGAGGAUGAUCUGUUCCUCAGCACAUCAUGGCAUAUGUUAUCCAGGUGAUUCUGGUGUAGAUAUAACUGUGGUCCCGGAUAACUCCCAGGAUUCCUUGUCAUUCAGAACCGACAUUGACCCCACAUGAACUCAUAGUACCAAGGAAAGAUGGCUGUAUGACAGUGAUAUUUACAUUUGUGUGAUUUAUGAACAAUAAAACUACUGAACAUUAAUAA